GAUUGGUUGCUUCUCAUACAUGCCCUGACAGGGGAUUGAACCCGCAACCUUUUGGUGUAUGGUAUGAUGCUCCAACUGGGCCACCUAGUCAGGGCGGUUCAGUUGCUUCUGGUGUCUUAUUUGACCUUUUUACUAGAAAGAUAAAUUGCACUUAGAAGUCUUAAUGUUAUCAGUGGCAUAUUUAUAAAGCACUAUGUUAAAUGCCUUAAAUAAAUUCUCUAAACUGUAUAUCAGCUCUCCAAAAUAGGUGCAUUAUUGUCUUUAUUUUCUAGGCGAAGACACACAUGCUUAGAGAGGUUAAAUGUAACUCCUGCAGAAGUCUCACAGGUAGUAAGUGCAAGAAUUGGAAGGCUAAAAUCAAAUUUGGAGUCUCAAUUAGUGAUGCAAAUAAAUUGUCUCUGGAUUGAUCUGUUUCAGUUAAAUUCUGGAAUUACUGGUUCUAGUCCAUAGAUUAAAGGGCUGGAAUUAUUGGUUCUGAUUUAUAGAUGGAAGGGCUUGUGUGGGUGUGUUUGAUUCAGCUCGAGCCCUUGGGCUGUGUUGCUGUCACUGACUCAGUCUGUCAUAGUUGUUGUACGCAUUUCAGACAAACGUGUCCUGAGGUGGGCGUUAGCUACUUAAACCUGAAACUAAAGAAAAGCAAAAGAGGGUGGGGAAAAGGGAAAAUAAGAAGUCUGUUUUUCAGAUGGUUUAAACUACACUGAUGAUCAUUUUAUGGAUGGGCCUAGCAGGGCUGUCCAACCUUUUGGCGUCUCUGGGCCACACAUUAAAUACACAAACACCAAUGAAAACUGAUGAGCAAAAAAAGGGUUUUAUGUAAGUUGCGAUUUUGUGUUCGGCUGCAUUCGUAGCCAUCCUGGGCUGCAUGCAUCCCGUGGGCCGUUGGUUGGACACCCCUGGACAGUGUAAAAUUCUAAGGAUGAGGUGAAGAAGGAGAAUUACAUGAUGGUGAGCUGAGGCCCAAGGGGAAUGGCUACAGUAGGAAGACAGUAGAGAAGGCUGCCCUCGCUACAUUUAUUUUGAAUUUUACUAACCAUGGGCUAAUGGAGUGUAAUCUGUCAUACAUACCGAUUUGUUCUUUUUUCAGAAAGAACAUUAAUGAAUAGUCAUAAAUCAUUUUUUAAAUGCAACAGUAGUUCUCUGUCAGUGUGAAUAAAAAGCCCUUUGGAUAUUGUUCAUGACCUCAUUUGAUGAUCAUUUUUGCAUUAAUAUAAGUACAUUUAUGGGAUUCUCUGGUACCGUUACUUAACUUGGAGCACCGUGCUUCUGGCCUAUUUACCUAGAUUUACUCUGCUCUAGGAAUUUUAUUCAGGAUACUAGCAGUGUGGAAAUUCUGCUCCUGGCAUCAGGGUGCCCUGUGAGAGUAUAGUUUUCUUAGGGUGGUAACAUCCUAUUUAGAGGCAGAGAUUAGCACUGUUUUACUAAUUGUGCUAAGAUGCUCUUUGCCUUUUUCACUUUAUUGGUAUCUUUACUGAUGCUACAGAAUCGCUGGUGGGUCACGCUGCUGGCACCUUAGCAUGAAUCAAAUACCAAAUUCACCAGUGUGCAUUCUUAA
Molecule: long non-coding RNA, 1552 nt
Organism: Phyllostomus discolor (pale spear-nosed bat)
Lineage: Eukaryota; Metazoa; Chordata; Mammalia; Chiroptera; Phyllostomidae
Exons: 2
Source: RefSeq, a predicted model, not a curated record